UGCAGCGACGCCGCGUGAGCGAUGAAGCCCUUCGGGGUGUAAAGCUCUUUCGGCAGGGACGAUAAUGACGGUACCUGAAGAAGAAGCUGCGGCUAACUACGUGCCAGCAGCCGCGGUAAUACGUAGGCAGCGAGCGUUGUUCGGAGUUACUGGGCGUAAAGAGUGCGUAGGCGGUUUUCUAAGUUUGGUGUGAAAUCUCCCGGCUUAACUGGGAGGGUGCGCCGAAAACUGGAAGGCUUGAGUAUGGGAGAGGUAAGCGGAAUUCCUGGUGUAGCGGUGAAAUGCGUAGAUAUCAGGAGGAACACCUGCGGUGUAGACGGCUUACUGGACCAUAACUGACGCUGAGGCACGAAAGCGUGGGUAGCAAACAGGAUUAGAUACCCUGGUAGUCCACGCCCUAAACGAUGCAUACUUGGUGUGGGUAGUUCAUUCUAUCCGUGCCGGAGCUAACGCGUUAAGUAUGCCGCCUGGGGAGUACGGUCGCAAGGCUG
RNAcentral lists this ribosomal RNA (491 nucleotides) under uncultured Acidobacteriota bacterium. RNAcentral describes it as "bacterial SSU rRNA". It matches the Rfam family "Bacterial small subunit ribosomal RNA", at positions 387 to 896 of the family's 1533-position model. Lineage: Bacteria; Pseudomonadati; Acidobacteriota. The record is from RNAcentral.